Bactrocera dorsalis (oriental fruit fly) is the source of this 772-nucleotide long non-coding RNA. RefSeq lists it as uncharacterized. The transcript is spliced from 2 exons. NCBI's taxonomy places the organism in Eukaryota, Metazoa, Arthropoda, Insecta, Diptera, Tephritidae. The record is from RefSeq and is a predicted model, not a curated record.
AGUGAGUGUUGUGUUCAUUGGCGGCACAUAUUUUUCCGGCAAUAAAUCCACAUUACAUCAAGGUAAGAACAUUUUGCAUUUUUUUUUAAUUCAUUUGUAUAUAUUAUUAUAUAAUUUAUUUUGUUUUUGGGAAAAUGGAGAACCAAAUCCAAUUAGCAGAAGAACUGCAAAAACUUCAUUUUAAGUCCAUGAGUAUGGAUAUAAAUGAAGAUUUGUUAAAUUUGGAAAAACUCCUAGAUACUUUGGACAAAAAAUGGGCAGAGUUUCAACGAAACCAUUUAGAAUUGUCCAAAGAUCCCAAAAACAAAAAAGACAAUUAUUUUAAAACGGACGGGAGUUAACGACAUAGCCUCGCUCCGGGUCACACACACUCACAUACAUCUUAUCUCCUAAUAUACAUUCCGAACAAAGGCGAACUAUGUAUGUAAACCGAUAGAACUCGCUUUGACAUGCACUAUCAGUCGAACAAUAGAAAUGAACAUGCAUUAUCUAGAAAGGCAUUCUCAACAUGUAAACAACAAACAUCUGGCAAUGGAAUAAUCCACUGCGAUAACCAACUCCGCAUCUCAAGUAAUGGCAAGAUAGCAGAUAUCGAAUUACAACAAAGAAGUCGCAUGCAGAUAACAGCAGCCGCAUUUCAUUAGUAUAAAUAGCUGUAAGAUCUUAUAUUAAAAUUUAGUUCUUAAGAAUAUCAAUAAAGGCACGCAUUUCGGCGUAUAAAUAAAAUUGUUUAAAUUCUUGAACUCAUAUCGUGUAAACGAUAUUAACUCGC